This 310-nucleotide long non-coding RNA is filed under the name Eucalyptus grandis. RNAcentral's name for it is "long non-coding RNA (EGRA_LNC005401)". Lineage: Eukaryota; Viridiplantae; Streptophyta; Magnoliopsida; Myrtales; Myrtaceae. The record is from RNAcentral.
AGGGGUGAGCAUGGUCCGGGUUGGUCCGGGCCACCCCUAACCCUAGGACCAACCCGUACAGUGUCGGUCCUCAAUUUUUAGAACCAAGGACCGACCCUAUUAAGCCUGGGACCAAGGACCGGACCGACCCAAUGGGUUCGGUCCGGUUCCAAGGUCAACCCGGGACCGAUCGAUAAUUUUUUUCGUCUUAUUUUUUAUACUUCCUAAAAAAGCAAACCUACAAAUUCAAAUUACGCAUCCAUGAUCCAUCAACAAUACGAUAUUGUGCAACUAAAUUAUAAAAUACCAAUACAUAUUUAGCAAAUUUAAG